Molecule: long non-coding RNA, 1064 nt
Filed under: Cyanistes caeruleus (blue tit)
Lineage: Eukaryota; Metazoa; Chordata; Aves; Passeriformes; Paridae
Description: lncRNA (ENSCCEG00000007563.1)
Source: RNAcentral
AUGUGCAGGUGGAACGUGAAGGAAGAAGAAUCAGAACUUUUAGGAGAGUGUUCCCCCCAGAGUCCUUUACGUUCAGUGUCUCCAAGUCUGAGCAGCAAAAUAGGUCAACUUCUGAAAGAAGCUCCAGCAGCUCAGGGGAGCAGCAGUAGCCCUCCUGCUGAUGCACAGCCUGUGGAUCAUCAAAGGGAAAUAAAGAAGCUCCUGCAAGACCUGGGCAAGAAAGACACCAUGCAGAGUUACAAGAGAUGGCUCCCACUCUCCUUGCACUGCCAUGACGAGAACCAGUGCGUGGUUGAUGUGAGGACUCGGCAGCUGCCGUGGCUCCCUGGCAGGGCGCUCGGCUGCCUCCUGCUCUGCUGCCUCGCAGGCUGCAGCUCCCUCCCGGUCUUGGUCCAGGGACGUGGGUCCUGUGCCCUGGGCUGUGGUGCCAUCUCUGGGUCUCUGCUGCUCUCCAGGCCUCCCGGGAAACGCUGCUCUGUUCCGCCCGAUUCCUGAAGAGGAAGGAUCUCCAGCAGAUGCUGCGGGUGGAUCAGACCUGGAGGUUCGGCGAGGGCCUGGUAAGGGCGGGCUGGAAGCCCCAGCCCCAGGCUGGAGAAGCUCAGUGUGUGCGGCUGGCAGCUGUGCCCUGCCCAGUGCCGCACCCAGGGCCGCCAGCCUGUGCCCCACACGCUGCUCCCUUCCCUGGGCCCCGCGGGCUCUACUCCAGCCCCCUGUGGCCCCGAGCCGUGUACCCAUGGAGCCCCGGCACCGCUGGUCUGUCGGGCAGGCCAGCAGCGCGGCUCCCCGGGCAGCAGCCGGCCCUCUGCCCCUUCCAGAGCCCGGCGCCAGCGGCUGCUGCCCGGUGCCUCAGGGCUGGGCGGGCACGGGAGGCCGGGGCUGGCCGCAGGCAGCAGUGCCCGGCCGAGGGGCAGAGCCCGCACCAACCCUUCCCUCCCGCCGCUCUCUGCAGCUGGCACAGGACAGGAGCCGAGCGGCUGAGCACCUGCACCGGGCCCUGAUGUACCUGGACAGCCCACAGGAGUCCCUGCGAGCGGCGGCCAUCAGGUUCAUUGGUGAGCCACGAA